UGGGUGCCCAGCAGCCCGCCGGUAAUUCCAGCCUUCAGCAGCAUCUAUUAAAGUUGCUGCGGUUAAAAGGCUCGCAGUUGAAUGUCUGUAUCGAGCGCAGGUCAGGUGGACGUUGGGGCGUGGAAGUACGGGCUGUUGGAUGCCCGGUGGGCUUCGUGCUCGUCGGCUCCUUCGGCUUUUCCACACACCCCCGUCCGUGACAAGCCUCCUCGCUCGGGUACAUAACGGGAAUCGGUCAAACGGAGUGUGGUCAUGGAAGUUGAGGUGCGUGGCUUUACGGUUGCGUGUCGCUUCUCUCGUGGCUGCGUCAAGCUCCAUCGGUUUCACGGUCACCUUGAGUAAAUCAGAGUGCUCAAAGCAGUCGUAGGGGCCUUGCGCCCUGUGAACAGUCUUGACGGACUGACUUGGUUUUGCAUGGCAUGUCGGAAGACGACGUCGUGUGCUGGCUCAGAGGAUAAAUCAGUGGUACAAGCCAGCCUCGACGUAAUGAUUAAAAGGGACGGUCCGAGGGCAUUGGUAUUGCGAGGCGAGAGGUGAGAGUUCUGUGACCCCCGCAAGACCUCC
RNAcentral lists this ribosomal RNA (564 nucleotides) under Gammarus duebeni. RNAcentral's name for it is "SSU rRNA". It matches the Rfam family "Eukaryotic small subunit ribosomal RNA", at positions 562 to 940 of the family's 1831-position model. Lineage: Eukaryota; Metazoa; Arthropoda; Malacostraca; Amphipoda; Gammaridae. The record is from RNAcentral.